RNAcentral lists this transfer RNA (65 nucleotides) under Coeliccia cyanomelas. Its description in RNAcentral is "tRNA-Pro". The record is from RNAcentral. Lineage: Eukaryota; Metazoa; Arthropoda; Insecta; Odonata; Platycnemididae.
CAGAAAAUAGUUUAUGAAAAAUCAUAAUUUUGGAGAUUAUAGAUACACAGUUAGUGUUUUUCUGA